AACGCACAUUGCGCCCUCUGGUAUUCCGGAGGGCAUGCCUGUUUGAGCGUCAGUUCUCUCUCAAACCUUUGGUUUGGUUUUGGGCGCGUAUGCACCUUUCUGGGUGCAUUCGCCUGAAAUAGAUUGGCAAGGCGUUUUCUGUCUUAUCAGCGUACUAGGUUUUACCGUCGUUGUUUUAGCAGAAAAAAAGCUGGGCCUUAGAACACUAACUUUUUAAGUUUGACCUCAAAUCAGGUAGGGAUACCCGCUGAACUUAA
This 257-nucleotide unclassified non-coding RNA is filed under the name uncultured Ascomycota. Its description in RNAcentral is "sequence contains ITS2". The stretch from base 1 to 52 matches the Rfam family "5.8S ribosomal RNA", at positions 103 to 154 of the family's 154-position model. The record is from RNAcentral. Lineage: Eukaryota; Fungi; Ascomycota.